CGUUUCUGAUUUCUACAAUUCACAGUUUCUUUGUAUUUAUCACUGUGCACUCACACUCAUUCAAUUACGAUAUUUUCUCCAAUCUAGAUGAGGAAGCUAUCCUUUCACCUCCCCUUCAUUGAAGCUCACAUUCAACCAUAUUCGACAACCUCUGUUCUACUGGCGAUGAAAUCGGUUCAAAACUCUGAGAGCAAACGAAGCCCUGAACGAAAUCAGAGAAAGAAGAUCAGACUAUGAAUCUGAGAAUAUGAAAGAUGACGAAAACAGAGAUCUGGCAGAUAACAAAGCCAUCGAGUUUUGGAUCCUACAUUUGGCAAGAGCCUAUCGACGAAAUAGGUAUGAUAUUGUCAUCGUCUCUCUGUAUUAAAUUGAUGACACUUUGGUGAUGAUAUAUUUAAAGAUGAUUGGAAACAUGAUAUAUCUUCUCAUACUAUUUUUUCGAGGGAGUGUUUUGAAGCUGUCCCCCGAACCUGAUAUAUCUUCUCGAUGGAAAUUCCAAUAAUUAUUGAUGGUUGAAUCAUCACAAACUUCACUAACUCAGAAGAUAAACGAUAACCGGUCGAAAACCAAAGCAGCCCUCUUUGAUGUAAUCAGAAGUGGAUCUACAGCCUUUGCCAACUAUCUGAAACCAACAAUCAGUUUGCAACCUGACCCGAUCAAGUGCUUAAAGAAAAGAAACAAGAGUCUUGAGCAAAACUUGAUUUUUGGAACUCAACUCCAAGAUUGGUUUGAGCCGGUAAAGAAGAAAAUCAAAGCAACCACCCCAUUCAAAUAUUUUGCAUCAUGAACGUGCCUCUCAAUCUCAGGGGAGACUGUUUGGGUAAAAUGAAUAGAUUUUUGAAUCCUUUCGCUUAUUUCCCCUUUCAUUCUAUGGCAGAAGCUCAAUUUUGAUGAAUAGUUCAAGCUGUUGUCAUGGCUGGACUUAAUGGCAAGUUUUUCUCCUACACAAUUAGUUCUUUAAUUUUUUUUCCUUCACCAGCUGCACUGCGAUCUAACCUGUGAUAUGUCCUCUUAUAUUAGACUGAGAGGCACCAGCUAGAUGAUCAAUGAACUUCUCUUAGUUUACCUGUUUUUACAAUUUUGUUUUCUUUAUGUGCGUUGAGAAUGGACAUAAGAGUAUCACUGUAGGUAAAGUAUCAAGUUUUGUCUUUAAUACGUUGUGUACAUGGGAAUCUAGAUGGAUAUGACUUUGAAGGUAUUCCUUAGAUUUCACACCAAAACAAAUGUGUUUAUAUUUGUGUUUGUGUUUUCAUUCAUCUUACUGUGUUCUAAAUAAUGUUUUUGGAUCAUAGUUUUGGACUGAAAAUAUAUUCAAAAUUUCCCUAAUUGGUAUAUAAAAAUUUAUUUUUUAAUAACAGUGUAAUAACCUCAUUGUAUUUUUAAAUAGUAAUUUUAAAACCAACUAAUAUAUAAUAAUAAAAUUUAAAUAAAUUGUGAA
This is a long non-coding RNA of Brassica napus (rape), 1438 nucleotides long. RefSeq lists it as uncharacterized. The transcript has 6 exons. The record is from RefSeq and is a predicted model, not a curated record. NCBI's taxonomy places the organism in Eukaryota, Viridiplantae, Streptophyta, Magnoliopsida, Brassicales, Brassicaceae.